This is a long non-coding RNA of Oncorhynchus keta (chum salmon), 987 nucleotides long. RefSeq lists it as uncharacterized. The record is from RefSeq and is a predicted model, not a curated record. Lineage: Eukaryota; Metazoa; Chordata; Actinopteri; Salmoniformes; Salmonidae. The transcript is spliced from 3 exons.
UGUAGUUAAUGUUUGUCUGUUUUGUGUUUGUGCGGUCCGGGCUGAUGCUGGAGGCUCCAGCCACCACAGAGGCAGACGAUAAGGAGGUUGGUAUGAGUGAUCUGAACCAGGAUGUGAUUGGUCUCAUCUGGGGCCAGGAGGCCAGACGUCUCCUCCAGAGCUCCCGACCAGUCAGGCUCAGCGUGGUCCACCUGGCCGAAAGUCAGCGACAUAGAGGAGAAGGAGAACAAACUGCUGCAGCUGUGCCAGCGUUCCAUGGCUCUGCCAGUGGGCAGAGGCCUGUUCACUCUCUUCUCCAACCACCCUGUGUCAACAGAACCUAAACUCAACCUUACUGGUUUCUGUCUGAGAAGAGGCGUCUAUGUAGGGUGUCCAAUGAAAAAUGCAUAUUUCGACCAAUGGAAACAACGUUAUAGAAGACCACCACUACAUGUGAAAUCCUCAAGUCACUGCAAGAAGGCAACACCGCUCUUAACUUUUUGGAUAUAAUGUUAAUUGGAUAUAAUGUUAAUUGGAUAUAAUGUUAAUUGGAUAUAAUGUUAAUUGGAUAUAAUGUUAAUUGGAUAUAAUGUUAAUUGGAUAUAAUGUUCAUUGGAUAUAAUGUUAAUUGGAUAUAAUGUUAAUUGGAUAUAAUGUUCUGUUCAUUGGAUAUAAUGUUCAUUGGAUAUAAUGUUAAUUGGAUAUAAUGUUAAUUGGAUAUAAUGUUAAUUGGAUAUAAUGUUCAUUGGAUAUAAUGUUCAUUGGAUAUAAUGUUCAUUGGAUAUAAUGUUAAUUGGAUAUAAUGUUCAUUGGAUAUAAUGUUCAUUGGAUAUAAUGUUCAUUGGAUAUAAUGUUAAUUGGAUAUAAUGUUCAUUGGAUAUAAUGUUCAUUGGAUAUAAUGUUAAUUGGAUAUAAUGUUAAUUGGAUAUAAUGUUAAUUGGAUAUAAUGUUAAUUACAAGCCAUUACAAGCCAGAGAAAGACCCCCCUGAACGAUUAAGAACAUGAAU